AAAUGCAGCCCUUUGAACAUCAUGUCCUGGUUUGCCUGGGGUGUUCCCACUGAAAGUUGUAACUCCUGAGAACCCCUCCCUGCUUUUUAUUUUUGUUUUCUGUAGAACCUAGAGAAGGGGGUCAUCCCACAUUUGUUGGCAGUGCAGGGAACUGACAUUUGUUGGGCGCCUGUUACGUAUAAUUAGAUGUAUUACGUGUUUACACCACUUCGUCCUCACAGUAGUCCCGCAAGGAAGAGAACCUACAAAACACUAGAGCGGCCUCUCCUGUAAAUAGAACCAAACUCGAGGCUACCGUGAGAAUCCGAGUUCACGAGAGAUGACAGCUGGAGUCCAUUAGAUUCCGUUACAUGCAAACGAUCUCCUGCAGUUCCAUCUAGCUCUCCAGAUUUGGCAAAUCAUUUUGUUUGUUGAACAUUUGAAGGAGAAUAAUACUCUGUAUGACCACACGUGUUUCAGUGACAAAGGAGCACAGUAGCAGAUUCUGGCUGCACUGACCUUUUGUUCCUGGUCUCGUGGUUAAGUUUUUGAAAACAAACAAGGGAUUUGUGGAUAAUUAGUCUUCACUGGGAGCCACCGGUCUUCUAAGGAACUCAAAAAUCGUAUCAUGGGAGGGAGCGCUAAAGAUACUCUUCAGAUGAUUCGGUCUGGAGAGAUGAUUCAGAGAACGCGACAAUCCUCCUCAAAUAUCCGAAGAAGUUGCAGAUGGAAGACAGAUUAAAUUUCUACGAGUAGCAAAGGAGCACAUAAUUGGGUUCUUGGGUGGAAAUCACAAGAGACAGAUUUCAACUUCAUUAUAAGGCAAAAUACGUCACUAGGCUGUUCCGGAAUGGAACGGGCAGCGUGAUGGCACAGUGAGUUUUCAGGCACAGCAAGUUUAUAUGUAUUUGUUCAUUCAUUUACUCAACAAGUAAUUACCAGUGACUACUAUGUGCCAGGCACUGGUCUAAAUUCUGGAAAUGCAGUUAUAGACAGGAAAGACAGGGUCCCUGAUCUCAUGGAGCUUGUCUUCCAGAGUAGCGGUUGACAAAUUUCUUCUGUAAAGGGCCAGGUAGAAAAUAUUUUAAGUUUUGGAGGCCAUGCAGUCUGUGGUGCGACUACUGAACUCUGCUGUUAUUUUGCAAAAGCAUCCUUAGACCAGGCAUUGGCAAACAAUGGCCUGCAGGCCAGAUUCGGCCCGCCAUUUACUUUCCUGAGGAAAGUUGUGUUGGAACACAGCCACACCCACUCAUUUCUGUGUUGCCUGUAGCUGCCUUAGGCCACAACAGCGGACCCUGUGGUUAUCACAGAGACCGUACGCCCCAUGAAGCCUAAGCCGUUUACAUGUUACCCUUUACAGAAAACGUUUGCUUUCAGCUGCCAUGGAAAAUUCAGAAACAAAUGACUGUGUCUAAGGAGACUUUAUUUAUGGAUAUCGCAAUCUAAUUUUAUGUAAUUUUCACAUCAUGAAAUAUUCUUUAAAAAAUUUUUUCGAUCAUUUACAACUGUAAAAACUCCUCUUAGCUCAUGGGUCAUACUAAAACCCAGGUGGGCUGAAUUUGACCAUGGGUCAUAGUUUGCCAGUCCCUGUUCUAGAGUAUUUUAGCCAAUUCAUAUAUCUUGAAUAGUACUAUUUUCACUGGUGAGAAUCUAUUUCUAACUUCAUUUAUGCUGAUAAUUACAAAUUUCACUAUUGUGCUAAAUAAAGAAAUGUCUGUUGUCGAUCAGAGAACAAGGUCACUAAAAUGCUCAUAGUAGCUAUCUCCGGAGUUGGGGCCUUUUUGAUAAAAUUCUAGCUGCUUCCCCCACUCCCUUCUGCCAUUUCAGUGUGAAAUCCUGAUCACGACAUCUGACUGCGCCAGGCUGUAUUUUAGCCUAACUAAUGCGUAGUGUCCCACUGUCCGCGCUGAAGCCGUUUAGAGGGUACAGAGAGAUCAUAACCCUCUAAAAUGCAGAGACACUGAACUCUUUUUUUUUCAUUCAACUCUAUAAGCACUGGGGCAUACUUUGCAUAAUUACAAAGGCCUGUGAAUCUCUCAAACAAAAGAACCGUCCAUCUGGGCAACUAUUUUUAGAAACCGGCUAUAAUUUUUCAUUUUUUCCCCCCGAAUGGCAAUUUUUCCUUCACGUCGCACAUCAAAACAAACUCCUCAAGGUCAGAUGGAAAAAAAGUGAAAGUAUUUGACUGGGUGUUUGACUUAAGUGACUAGUAAAUUCAAUCUUAAAUAUUAAUCUAAUAACCACUUUUAGGUACCAGCUGAAUUUUUCAUUCUGAAAUAAUUUCAGUUUUUUUCUGGGAUAAAUUUUCGCUUUUGCAAAUGUGCUCUUUGUGCAAAUUCUCUGAGUCAAGGUGUAAAACAUCCUUUUAGCCUCUUUUUAUUGAUCUCCUUCCCUCAAGCCGUCUCUCUUUUAGUUUAUAAAAGACAAACCAUAAAUUCCUUCAGUUUUUAAAAUUUUUUUCCUGCUCUUUCAUCCAUUAGUAGAUUUAACUCUGAAAACUGAAAUUACUUUUGAGUAAUAAAAUCGAAACCCUCCCUCCCGGUUCGAUAGUUUGAAAGUGUUUUUCACUUUGAGCUUAUUUCACCAGUGGACUGGCUAGUGCCACUUUGGAGGAGCUAAAGUGCAUAGGUGUCUGGCUAAGAGAGCAGAUGCCGUGGCUUAUUGCUGGAAACCCCCAACGACGUGCAAUUUGGCGUCUAAAUAGAAACUUGACAAUGAUUGAACCAUUGGGAUGACCUUCAGCUAAAUCAUUUAGAGCAGCACCGUUCUCAAACAUAAAAGGUGACAAUGUGUUGGCCUCUUUAUUUUCUUUGAAAUUAAAACAAAUCUGUGUUUUGUGAAAUAAAGGAUGGGAUUGGGGUUUGCAUUGACUUCAAGCACUGACUGCCUGCCCUUCUCG
Molecule: long non-coding RNA, 2878 nt
Filed under: Equus caballus (horse)
Lineage: Eukaryota; Metazoa; Chordata; Mammalia; Perissodactyla; Equidae
Description: lncRNA (ENSECAG00000057609.1)
Source: RNAcentral